RNAcentral lists this ribosomal RNA (301 nucleotides) under uncultured bacterium. RNAcentral describes it as "partial 16S ribosomal RNA". It matches the Rfam family "Bacterial small subunit ribosomal RNA", at positions 509 to 808 of the family's 1533-position model. The record is from RNAcentral.
CAGUCGCCGCGGGAAUACAGAGGGUGCGAGCGUUAAUCGGAUUUACUGGGCGUAAAGCGUGCGUAGGCGGCUUCUUAAGUCGGAUGUGAAAUCCCUGAGCUUAACUUAGGAAUUGCAUUCGAUACUGGGAAGCUAGAGUAUGGGAGAGGAUGGUAGAAUUCCAGGUGUAGCGGUGAAAUGCGUAGAGAUCUGGAGGAAUACCGAUGGCGAAGGCAGCCAUCUGGCCUAAUACUGACGCUGAGGUACGAAAGCAUGGGGAGCAAACAGGAUUAGAUACCCCCGUAGUCCCUGUCUCUUAACA